RNAcentral lists this ribosomal RNA (1289 nucleotides) under metagenome. RNAcentral's name for it is "bacterial LSU rRNA". It matches the Rfam family "Bacterial large subunit ribosomal RNA", at positions 1625 to 2925 of the family's 2925-position model. The record is from RNAcentral.
UGGGAGAAAGUAACUGCCCGUACCGCAAACCGACACAGGUAGUUGAGGAGAGAAUCCUAAGGUGUGCGGGAGAACUCUCGUUAAGGAACUCGGCAAAAUGACCCCGUAACUUCGGGAGAAGGGGUGCUGACCGCAAGGUCAGCCGCAGUGAAUAGGCCCAAGCGACUGUUUAUCAAAAACACAGGUCUCUGCAAAAUCGAAGAUGACGUAUAGGGGCUGACGCCUGCCCGGUGCUGGAAGGUUAAGAGGAGAGGUUAGCGCAAGCGAAGCUUUGAAUUGAAGCCCCAGUAAACGGCGGCCGUAACGAUAACGGUCCUAAGGUAGCGAAAUUCCUUGUCGGGUAAGUUCCGACCCGCACGAAAGGCGUAACGAUUUGGGCACUGUCUCAACGAGAGACUCGGUGAAAUUAUAGUACCAGUGAAGAUGCUGGUUACCCGCGACAGGACGGAAAGACCCCAUGGAGCUUUACUGCAGUUUGAUAUUGCGUGUUUGUAUCACAUGUACAGGAUAGGUAGGAGCCGAAGAUACCGGGACGCCAGUCUCGGAGGAGGCAACGGUGGGAUACUACCCUUGUGAUAUGACCACUCUAACCCGCUGCUCUUAGCGAGCAGGGAGACAGUGUCAGACGGGCAGUUUGACUGGGGCGGUCGCCUCCAAAAAUGUAACGGAGGCGUCCAAAGGUUCCCUCAGAAUGGUUGGAAAUCAUUCGUAGAGUGUAAAGGCAGAAGGGGGCUUGACUGCGAGACCUACAAGUCGAGCAGGGACGAAAGUCGGGCUUAGUGAUCCGGUGGUUCCGCAUGGAAGGGCCAUCGCUCAACGGAUAAAAGCUACCCUGGGGAUAACAGGCUUAUCUCCCCCAAGAGUUCACAUCGACGGGGAGGUUUGGCACCUCGAUGUCGGCUCAUCGCAUCCUGGGGCUGUAGUCGGUCCCAAGGGUUGGGCUGUUCGCCCAUUAAAGCGGUACGCGAGCUGGGUUCAGAACGUCGUGAGACAGUUCGGUCCCUAUCCGUCGCGGGCGUUGGAAAUUUGAGAGGAGCUGUCCUUAGUACGAGAGGACCGGGAUGGACACACCGCUGGUGUACCAGUUGUUCUGCCAAGAGCAUCGCUGGGUAGCUAUGUGUGGACGGGAUAAACGCUGAAAGCAUCUAAGCGUGAAGCCCCCCUCAAGAUGAGAUUUCCCAUCACUUUAAGUGAGUAAGACCCCUGAGAGAUGAUCAGGUAGAUAGGUCGGGAGUGGAAGUACAGCGAUGUAUGGAGCGGACCAAUACUAAUCGGUCGAGGACUUAACU